UUUUAAUUUCUAUCGAUAUCUUAAACAAGCAUGGCUGAUUAAAUGAUUAGUGUCGUCUGCUGCUUUCGUUUUAUUUCACAGAACUUUAACAAAGAAAAUUUUCAAAAACUCUUAAAUCUCCUUAUCUAUGGAAUAAUUCAAUUACACACUUCAGGAUGCUGUUUACCAGAUUUGAGCCCAGAGACGAGACAGCCAUCAUAACCACUAGAUAUGCCAGUUUUGCUUGUGCUUGUAUUCACCUGUCAGCAGCAAUAAUCUUAACAUCAUCACUUGGAAAAACAGCAUCCCUCUGGAUUGGAGAAACUACCGAUGUCGAUCGAGUUAUGGAUCUCUUCUUCCACUUUCUUUUAAUCCCCUCUGCCCUCGUGUAUAUCCAUGUGUGUGUGGGUGUAUUCACGAGGACGUCCUUUUUUCCUAUCCUUCUCGGUGUCUUCAACUUUUCAGCGGAAUAGAUGGAGCAAAUGUGGAUGCCUGGCCGUAUUUCCCAGGCUUAAAGGUAGGACAAAUUUGUCUAUCUAUUCUUACUUUUUGAAUGUUUGGUGACGUUGAUUGUGAAUCGCGAUACAGUACGGAGUACGAUUAUUCCUGAGUUAUAGGCGGUUGACUGCAACUAUUUUCUCUUGACAUUUUUGUUUUAUCUCAGUCAGGGUUCACUAAAAAUCUCAUUUGUCGAACGACUGCAGAUCAGGCUUGUUUUUGUUCCUUUUUUUCCAUUGCGACUUUUGCGCUCCGCAAGAUGCUGUUGUUGUUGUCGGUUAUUUGUAAGGGUAAAAUAUGACCGCCAAGAUAUUAUCUCUACAUAUCUGCCACUCGCCAUUCGCUGGUUUUUGUGCAAAGGGUUCGGCGCAAAUCCCCACACAAACAUAUUCAGGUCGGGAUCAAAUUAGUUUUAAACGUUAUCGAGCAACUGUUGCCAUUGGCUUAUUUAAUUGCCUUCAUUUGACGACUGAAGUAUACCGGAUACUCCUCCUUCUCCCUUACGGUCUAUUGAACAAUCUCCGGGAGUAUGACGUCAUUCAAGUACACUCACAGUAUACAAAUGUUUCAGAAUUUCGUUUUCUUUCGCCUGUCUAUACAACCGAAUCGCUUCACGACUAGUUUUUUCUCUAUUCUAACGCAUCAAGGCCAAGCCAAAACAACGAAGUGAACCAUAGAUUUUUUUGUCGAUCCCGGGACCAUCAAGUCAUCGUCGCUUUUCAAAACAUUCACGUACGUGUACACGAAAAAAAAAUUGACUUUGAGGAUAUAGAUGGAGAAACGCCAUUCGUCUUUCAUGUCACCUGGCCAUAUUCCACCCACAACACAAGAUCUAUUGAUGAUUUUUCUCUCUCUUAAACUUUCGAUGCAUAUAACAUGCCCAUGUAUUAUACACACACACACACACAUAAUAAUCACCACUUUUGGCUUCGCGCGUCGACUUAUGUACAUGCAAAAGGCCAUGAAAGACUCUUUGCUGCCGGAUAGUCUAAAGUCCAUUAGAGUUGUGUGUGUAUAUUUCCUUCUUCUCUUAUUUCUUUUGGAGGACGACAGGAUAUGUUUAUUCUUUCAAAUUUGCAUUGCGCGACUUUUGCGCUCUGCGAGAUCCUGUUGUUGUUGUUGCCGGCCAUUAUAUGGGUGAAAUGUGGCCGCCACGAUAUUAUCAGUCUUAUUAUGCGUCUACAAUAUUAUCUGCGACUCGCCAUUCGUUGGUGUUUGUGCAAAGGGUUCGGCGCAAUCCCGACACACACACACACACACAUAGAGAAAAAGCAAAAGAAGAUGGGCCAGUCACGCCGGGGCUUCUCGCAUUAUCAGCUUAUCUUCUUCUUCUUAUUCUUCUUGUGUCUGUGUGAGUCUAUAUCCUUUUAGUUUGUCUCUCUCUCUCUCUUCUUAGUUUUCUUCUAGCAACAGCGCAGAGACCGUGAACUUGCUCGACUGUUAUCUCGGUCGUCCAUGUCAGUCGUAUUACGUGUCGUCAGAGUUCCAAAAGCUUUUGAUUAUUCAGCGCACCGAAAAGUCUGGAGAGGAAGAGAGAGAUGGGAGAGCGAUGCCGGAACCGGUCUGAGGUCACCUUCCCUUUUCGUUGUUUUUUGUCUGGCGCAAAAAUAUCUCUCUCUCUCUCUCUCUCUCUUGACUGACGGCCAGAGUUGAUGUGACUGGCUGAUGGCUGGCCUGUUUGACGAGUGACGCCCUCGACCAAACUGCGAAACACUGCGCACUUCCAAUGAGAGAGAGAAAAAAACGCAAUCUUUUUUCUUAUUUUCUUUUUAAUUCCAUUCCACAAAUGGUCGAAAGAAAAACAAAAAACAAGAUGGUCACUCAACUCAAUGUUCAUUCGUUUCGUUCAUCAGCUGUUUUUUGGGAUGAAGAAAAAAAAAAGGAAGUUAUAAGGAAAGAUAUUAAAAAAAGAAAGACCAGCGGGGAGUACAUUUGAGAUAAUGCGCAGCGAACUAGGAUGGGCCGCUCAUUUGCCAGUGUGACUCAACUAUCGUCUAACAUCUUUCAUUAAUGGUUGUUUUUAAUGGCGGAAAGGAACGUGCUAUUCUCAAUAGAACCCGCCGUAUAGAGAAAAGGAAGACAAAAAACCCCCAACUAAAUACUAGUUAUACUACUACUAUUCUAGACACUAAUAAUAUCGGGAGUCCCGGUGUGUGUGUGUGUGUUAGAUAACCGAUGGCGCAAGAAGUCGUCCAAAGGUAAAAACCAAACCAAAAUAGAAAGAAAAGAAAAAAAAGGUUAUGAGGAUUUGACAGUGGCGAAUAUUGGCAUUUGAGAGAGAGGCCCCCCGAAAGAAACCGUAACAUUUGGUCAAAGUGUCAGUUGCUGUUUGGUUAUUACGACAGUUGUGAUUUUGACGUUCUUCUCACUUAACAAGAUAUGAAGACUUAACCGUUCUUGACCCGCACGCAGCACAGAACGGGAUAUAGAGGGGCCAAACCGAAAGAAUUGGACGAGAGAGAAGACAUAGAGCGCAGUCCAGGGCCUUUUUUCAAUUCGUUGUUGCUUCAAUGGCUCUAAGGCCGGCUUGCAACCGUGUACAGUUUUUUGUCGCUAUGCUUGAAGCCUAACCCAGAGGACCUUUUCAUCCGGUUUGGGUUGACGUCGGGUCUCGUACUAACUAUACACAGUGGAAGGAGAGUGGGGGGAGACGAAAAUUCUAAACUGGAAAAUAACAACAACCGGACAACCGGCCUGCCCGAUGCAUGUCGUAUAAUACGUUAUGAUUAUUUUCCUGUAAAAAAAGAAGAAGGAAAAAAAGCUCACUGGCGGUCAAGUCGCCCCUAUCUACUACCUCCUUGUGUUGUUGGUCUUAGUCGUUCAUUUUUCCAGACGUGGCUUCCAGCGCGGACUUCGAAUGCGAUCAACAGACGUGAGCAGCCAAGCGAAAUGCCGAGACAUCAAACGCAGAGCCCCCCGUCUUACCCGUCAGACAAUUUCUAGAUUUAUUUAUUUUUAUUUUCGGAAGGAAAAAUAAGUCGUGGUAGCCUAACUACUUUUCCCGUUCGCUGAUUUCCGGAACUGAAUGAAUCAUAAACGGGGGGUCACACCCACAUGUUUUAAAAAAAGAAUUAAUUCGAUAGACUUGAACUCUGUUUUUUCUUCAAAGAUGAGUUUCUUUUUUGUUUUGUUUUUUGGGGUUUGACAUUUCUUCACGAACGAGCGACAAUUGUAAGGUCUCCCAGUGUACAAGAGGAUCAGCGAUAGAAAUAAUUCACGCAAUACCCAUAGACAUAUCGAGUCGUUCCUGUUGUAACUUCUCAACUUACGUGAAAGUCGCAUUCAACUAUCGUAUAUUGAUACUUUUAUUCGAAAAGAAAAGGGAAAAAUUGUUUCAGGACUUUAUGGCCGUCCCUAUAGUGCCAAAUUGUCCAUCCAGCAGGUUGGUAUGAAUAUAGGAGAGUCGGUGAAUAUAAUAUGAGAUGAUAACAGCGGGAAGAGAAAGAAAUGACUCACCUGUCUUCUCGCAGAUCCGGUGAAAACGCAGCUCCGGGUGAUGUAACGGCCUCCUUCAAACAAAACAACACGGCGCACUCAUGUUAUCUCUCUGUGUGUGUGGCGGUGGCACUGCGAAAAUUAAAAUUUGUGAUUUGUCUUCAGACAAAAUUUUUCUUCUUGAGGAACUUACAGUCGACGUCCGCACUUUUGAGUUCCUUUUUUUGUUUUUGUUUUUAUUUCACAACCGAUGAAUAAACAUGAAACAUGUCACGGAGCCGAAAGAAACCCAAAAGAAAAAUUUAAUCCAUUGGCUCGUGUGUCGGUGAAUUAUUCAAAAUGUCUCCGUCGUCCCGUCUACUGGCGCG
RNAcentral lists this long non-coding RNA (4280 nucleotides) under Daphnia pulex (common water flea). RNAcentral describes it as "uncharacterized LOC124188442". Lineage: Eukaryota; Metazoa; Arthropoda; Branchiopoda; Diplostraca; Daphniidae. The record is from RNAcentral.